Molecule: small nuclear RNA, 106 nt
Filed under: Dasypus novemcinctus (nine-banded armadillo)
Lineage: Eukaryota; Metazoa; Chordata; Mammalia; Cingulata; Dasypodidae
Source: RNAcentral
GCACUCGCUUCAGCAGCACAUAUACUAAAAUUGGAAUGAUAUAGAGAAGAUUAGCAUAACCCCUGUGCAAGGAUGACAGAAAAUUCAUGACAUAUUCCAUGUUUUU